RNAcentral lists this ribosomal RNA (301 nucleotides) under uncultured bacterium. RNAcentral's name for it is "partial 16S ribosomal RNA". It matches the Rfam family "Bacterial small subunit ribosomal RNA", at positions 509 to 807 of the family's 1533-position model. The record is from RNAcentral.
CAGCCGCCACGGUAAAACGAAGGGGGCUAGCGUUGCUCGGAAUGACUGGGCGUAAAGGGCGCGUAGGCGGCGAUCAAAGUCAGGCGUGAAAUUCCUGGGCUCAACCUGGGGGCUGCGUUUGAUACUUGAUUGCUAGAGUGGGGAAGAGGGUCGUGGAAUUCCCAGUGUAGAGGUGAAAUUCGUAGAUAUUGGGGAGAACACCGGUGGCGAAGGCGGCGACCUGGUCCUUGACUGACGCUGAGGCGCGAAAGCGUGGGGAGCAAACAGGAUUAGAUACCCCAGUAGUCCCUGUCUCUUAUAC